This 301-nucleotide ribosomal RNA is filed under the name uncultured bacterium. RNAcentral describes it as "partial 16S ribosomal RNA". It matches the Rfam family "Bacterial small subunit ribosomal RNA", at positions 509 to 807 of the family's 1533-position model. The record is from RNAcentral.
CAGCAGCCGCGGGAACACGUAGGGUGCGAGCGUUAAUCGGAAUUACUGGGCGUAAAGCGUGCGCAGGCGGUUAUAUAAGACAGAUGUGAAAUCCCCGGGCUCAACCUGGGACCUGCAUUUGUGACUGUAUAGCUAGAGUACGGUAGAGGGGGAUGGAAUUCCGCGUGUAGCAGUGAAAUGCGUAGAUAUGCGGAGGAACACCGAUGGCGAAGGCAAUCCCCUGGACCCGUACCGACGCUCAUGCACGAAAGCGUGGGGAGCAAACAGGAUUAGAGACCCCUGUAGUCCCUGUCUCUUAUAC